This 116-nucleotide ribosomal RNA is filed under the name Salvator merianae (Argentine black and white tegu). Lineage: Eukaryota; Metazoa; Chordata; Lepidosauria; Squamata; Teiidae. The record is from RNAcentral.
AGUAUUUAGGUUGCCUCUCAGUAAUCUUGUCUUGUCCGAAUCCAAAAGCUAAGCAGGGUUGGGUUUGAUUAGUACUUGGAUGGCAGACCACCAGGAAAUUUGAGGAUUAUAGACUG